CCAAUAUUACUCUCAAUACCCCACCCCCACAUGCCCCCUUCCCGUAGUUGUAAUAUUGGGCUUCAUGUUCCAGGGGUUGGUGGGCUUUUUAAUGCUAACAUGAUUUUGCAACUUAGGAGCCUAAAGAUCUUAUAUGCAUGCCUCCACCUGGAAAUGUUGACCUAUUUUUGCUGCAGAUCACCCAGCUGAGGCAUGCUGUUGUCUCCCACACUCCCUUUUACUGGAAUGUCCUCACUCUUUGAAUAUUUUCAGGGGGAAACCUGACUAGGCAUUACCAUCACCUGCAAAGGUCAGGACUCCCCUGUGGCCUAAUUAAGUGGCUUGGCUGUCAGCUACCCAGACCCUGUGAAGUCCCAUGUUCUUGGCUCCCUUGUUACCUACUUCAUGGGGUGGUACUGGUCAUUCAGAAAUCUGAGCUGCAUUCAGAGGAGACCUGCAUCUAAUACCUGUCAUGAGAUCUGUCAGCAUCUGGUAGUGCUGAACUUUCCACACUAAACAGACUUGGAACACAUUGAAUGAAAACUCAAAACCCACAACAUGGGGAUCAAGAACUGGGAAGUGUUUUGAUGUUGUGUAGUCACCAUGACUCAGGAAAGUCAGAGAGGAAUCCUGUCUCAGAUUAAUUCCUAAGGAUGGGUGGGUGUCUGUGUGGUAUGUGACCCUUUAACUAACUUGUGCAAGGGGGGUUUGAGAAAUUCAUGGAACAAUGGCAAUGAACUAUGUAGGAUUGUACAACCUUUUGGAGCCCCUUCGCGGGAUUAUGAUUUUUAGCUUAGUAUGUUGAUGACUUUUUUAAAGGCUGCAUAUUGGAUCCAGUGAAUGAAGUUUGCUGCCCAGAGUUGGUGACAACUGUAAUCCAGAGUGGGCUUGCAGCUGAGUCAAAUUCAGUGCCUGCCGCACCCAUGGCUGGCACUGGCCCAAAAGGCUGCCACAGAGACACUGUAACUCAUGGGCCCUGUUCCUCUCUGCUGAGCCUCAGGGAUAAAUUUUGUUACAGACAUUGAGAGAAAAAAAUACACCCCGUGAAAAGAGAAGGAUCUUAAUAAACAUAGUACAUCCAUGCUGAGGAAUGCCAGGAAAUAAAUUGGGUAUGCAUGCCAAAGUACACAAAAAAACCCCACCCAUAACCUUACAGCCAGCCUCCAACACAGGUGUAAAAGUACUCAUUGAAGUUUAUGCAAGGGGUUUACAUGUUCAGAGACUUGGGUCAGUGAUUUUGGAUGUGUCUUAACUGUCACAAGUGAGUGGCUUUAACAAAUGUGUUUUCUCAUAGACCAGAAGUCAAAGUACAGUUGCCAGUUGGAGGGGAAAGCUGUCUCCAUCAGACAAGGUCCGUGUUGACGUUCCUGCGGGUCGGGACAUUUGGUGCCCAAUGUAGGGCCCGAAUACGAGGGACAUUGUGAGGAAGAAGGCGUCGAAAAAGGUCGACAUCAUGGGUGAAAAAGAAAAUCGUUUGACUGCCGCAGGAGCUUGCCGCGCCAGAACUGAAAAAAUGAAUCCUGGCAACUUACUCCUGUGGACCACAAUCCUGCAUUAUUAUAUGACUGGGAUCCAUGCUGGCCUUGGUGACCCUGGCAAGGCUCAUGCCAUACUACAGCAACGAUGUACAAGCUUUAUCAAGCACCACACAAGAUAUUCAAGAUCAAGUGGGCUCCUUAGCAGAAGAUUUGUUACAGAAUAGAAGAGGUCGAGAUUUACUUACAGCAGAGCAAGGAGGUAUUUGUUUAGCUUUACAGGAAAGAUGCUGCGUUUAUGCCAACAAGUCUGGGAUUGUCAGAGACAAGAUCAAGCAACUACAAGAAGACCUGGAGAAGCGAAGAAAAGAAUUGGCCGCCAACCCGGUCCAAAGCGGGUUGAACAGGUUUUUGCCCUACCUUUUACUGCUUUUGGGCCCUUUGAUUGGCCUAUUGCUUUUGCUCUCAUUAGGGCCUGUAGUAUUUAACAAGCUCAUGGCUUUUGUCAAGUAACAGAUUGAAGCCAUCCAGGCAAAGCCUAUACAGGUCCAGUAGCAUCGCCGUGAGAUGAUUGAUCAGGGCGGCUCGCACGGUUAUGACGCGGUAAGACCCCUUCCCCUGUACGCUGAGCUGGUUAGCCGAUGACGGGUAAGCCUAAGACAGGCCCUAGUCGCCCAAGAGGACUAAUGACCGAUGACGGGUAAGCCUAAGACAGGCCCUAGUCGCCCAAGAGGACUAAUGACCGAUGACGGGUAAGGAUGCUCUUGAGGCUUCACAACCUAAGACAGGCGCAGCUCCUAAGGGGUCUCUUGGUUUUGAAAAAAUAAAAAAGGGGGACCUGUCCGGACCCCUGAGGCCCGGUCGCAACCUUGCCGGCUUAGAGUCACGUAGCCCGGCCGGAAUCUUGACUUUUGCAAUGCUUGAGCUCUAAUUUUCCACUUUACUGCCUCAAUAACAGUUUGUUCCUGCAGGGGCGCGUUUGACAUUUUGAGUUGGCCAAAAAUACCGAGGAAUUUUCUGCUCACAGGAACUGUUGCCUUGUGGUUAGGAUUCUUAAGGAAACAUCUGUGGCUUACUUCCUUUUCCUUUACCCUAUAUAAACUGUAACCACCCACCCAUUAAAUGAGACUUGAUCGGGACAGUCUUGUCUCCAUUUCUCGCAUCUCUUGUCUUUCCAAUUCCACUCCCUCCUUCAGGGUCUGCAUUGACGUUCCUGCGGGACAGGGGAGUGUCACUGAGGCAUCUUCAGUAGGUGACAUUUUAUUAGGAGCUGGAGAACAUAAGGAGUCAGGUCUUCGGAGGUAAUUCCCUAUCCCGCAUCACCUAAGGCAUGCAAAUGCUCCUUCCUGUUUUAUGAACAGCUUUUUUGCAUACAGAGCUCAGUGAUUCAGGCAUCCAUUAUUGCCCUUCUCCCUUUCCCAAUGUUUCCAGUGAGCAUCCCUUGGGUCUUUCCCCAUCCCUCCCAAGACUGUUAAAACAGACUGCCCUCAAGACCCCAGGUAAGGGCUCAGCCCACUGAGCCAUGUGUCUGAGUAAUAAAGUUCAUUUUACUUCA
Long non-coding RNA from Echinops telfairi (small Madagascar hedgehog), 3009 nucleotides. RefSeq lists it as uncharacterized. The record is from RefSeq and is a predicted model, not a curated record. The transcript is spliced from 4 exons. Lineage: Eukaryota; Metazoa; Chordata; Mammalia; Afrosoricida; Tenrecidae.